CUGUCCCGCUCCCGCCGUCUCUUCCGGUUCUUUUCCUUCUUCUCCGUCGCGGCCGCCGGUGCCUAGAGCCUUGGAUUAGACGGUAUAUCUUUAUCUCGUGCGCCGGGAGAAGUUAAACCUAUGCAGCGACGUAAAUCCGGACGGGAGCGCAGACUCCGCGUUGCUGCCGCCCGGCGAAACGGGAAACUUUAACCACGGCCUGUGGAGACCCAGACCCGACGGACUUUUGGCUAAUGGCAAUUACUGCAAUCCGGUAACGUCAGCUAGCGGAGUACUUCUACCCUACGAAAAUGAACGCGAACUCGACGAUUGGAACACGCUUUGGGAAUUUGUGUGGCACACUUAUGUGGCCGGGAUCUAACUGCGAGGGGGAAAAUCUGCAUCUUACUUCGAGGGAAAGUUUCUCCACGAUAAAAUGCACAACACAGCAAGUUUGCCACGCAAACAUGCAGUCCUAAAAUAUGAAGCUUCACAUGUAUGUAUACCAUCGAAUAUAACCGUGGAAUAUUACAAGCUGACCACAUGCCUGGAAUACCGAGCAACAGCCAGUGUAUCGUAUAGGUACGCAUCACACAUGUGUGGACAAAUGCACACCGUGUAGUAUUAUGCGGUAAUCGCUGCAUUGCCCGCAUCCCUAAAAUAGAAAAAG
Molecule: long non-coding RNA, 649 nt
Organism: Neodiprion virginianus
Lineage: Eukaryota; Metazoa; Arthropoda; Insecta; Hymenoptera; Diprionidae
Exons: 3
Source: RefSeq, a predicted model, not a curated record